AUAUAUAUAUAUAUAUAUAUAUAUAUAUAGAGUCUGACUGGGAUACUAUCGAUAGUAUCAAGAAUUUAGUGCUAUCGAGUUUUCCACCGUUUGAUUUAACCUUCUGAUUAUUUUUAUAAGUUAAAUUAUACUAUUCAACCAACCACUCACUCAACCCUAGGGUGGGACAUCAUCAUAAUCAUUCAUUUUUCAAUCUAAAGACUAAAAAGUCAAUAGCACCAAACUAGAACUAAAAAGUCAAUAGCACCAAUAGUUUGGUACUAUUGACAGUAUUUCAGUUUAGUUCUAUAUAUAUUUAUAUGUAAAAUUUAAAUAAGGAAAAUAUGUUGAUAUCAGUUUGUAGCUACCUUUGUUACCUUUGUGUUGGUACAAACCCUCCAGCGUACCAAGUUAAUCCGAGUCAAAUCACACGGGAAUCCCGAGGUGCCUGCUAGGGAUCAGGCGCGGCGAUGGGUCACGGUAGAGGCAGACACAGGAGGGGGCCACGUGUACCGGCGUGGCUGAGACGGGCGUCCUCAUCUCGUGAAAUGGCUGCCGCGUGGAACGAGUCCGUACGUCCUCACAUCCCUCCAUACCUAUUUAUUAUUUAUUUAUUAAUUUAUUAAUAAUGCCUCCCACAACCCACCCCACCCCCUCUUCACUCACUCCCUCNNNNNNNNNNNNNNNCCCUUCUCUUUCGUUCUUCCCAAUACAUAUAAUUCAUUUUUUGGGUCCUCUCGGUGUAUUUGUACAUCUCAUGCGCCGCGGAGCGAGCCGAACACGAGCUAACUCACACCAGCUGGAGAUUAGGACUGAAUUGGUCCCAGCUUGUGAUCCACUCAAAAGUAAUUUGAGUCUAGGGAUGUUAAUCGAUACGAAUAUUCAAAAUUCUAUCUGGUUUCGAUCUCGACCUCGAACUAAGUGAAGUUAUUCGAUACUUAAUGAAUAUAGUUUCGAAUAUGACUAUCAUGAACGAAAACUUGACGAAUUUGAAUUCAUGUAUGAAUUUUUAUUAUAUCCGAUCUGAACCAAAAUCCGCCCCGAAUCCAAAAUUAUUUUAUAUUAUAUAUAAUAUGCAUAUAAAUAUUUGAUGUUGUAUUUUAUUUUUUUUUUUAAGAAUUUAGAUGUAAUGUAAUAUAUUUUAAAAUAUUGUAUAGAAAAUAAUUAUUUCGGAUUCAAAUUUUCGGGUUCUGACUUGGGUUUGGGUGUUGAAUUUCUGAUCAGGUUCGAAUUUGGAUAUGAAUUUUUAAAAUCCGUCGAAUUCAUGUUCGGAUUCGGGUUUUGGUUUGGUGUUCGGGUUCGAAUUUUUGAAAAUCCGUUCCGAUUCUAACCCGUUGACAUCCCUAUUUUGAGCCGACACGUAUUCAGAUCAAAAAUUUAAAUAAGCUGGAAUAAUCCUGGUUUUCGACUUGAAAUUAAUUCGAGCUGGCUCGAGCUAGUUUUAAUUAAACUUAAAAAAAAUACUAUAUUAACUAUAAUUAGUAUCAUUAUUUGUUAUUAUUGACACAUGUUUUUGCUCUUAGUAUUAUUAAUAAAUAUUAAAAUAAAAAAUUCAAGCUAAUAAAAAAAUUUAAAAAUAAUAUUUUGUAUCAGAAUAGCUAACUAUAAUUACAACUCUAAUUCUUAAUUAGGAGUCGUUCGUCUCCCUACAUAUCACUCAAGAAAUGUCAUAUAAUUUUGCUACAAACUAAUUAAUUAUGCCACUUUGGAUUAGAAAGUUAUUUGCUCUUGUUAAUGGACUUAACUAUCCAUAAUCUUACCACGUCGGAAAUGAAUCAAUGAUCAAUACUGUCUAAUCUAUGCGAACUUAAUAUUUCUUUUAGUUGAAAAUUUAUGAUGCUUACAUCCGUAAAAGUUUAUUACACGACAAGUAUCUAACUAUUUUGAAUAAAAUAUUUUAAUUAUUUUUAAUAUAUUAUAAAUUAUAAAACAAACAUAUAGCAAUAGUUAAUGCCCUUCAAAUCAAGGGAAAAAAACGAAAACAUUAAAUCCAAGAUGUCGCCAAUAUUUUAGCAACUUUAUGCGGCAACCUUAAAUUUAUAUGACCACCUUAGAAGAUGUAAUUAAUUAAUCUUUUUUUUUUUUUGCAUUAUGGAUAUUAAUCUAUUAAAGAUACAUAAAAACAACAGUCCAUAUAUAUGAACUGCACCAGUAUUGCUAUUUGCUACCCCUAUUAUGCUGCAUUUAUGUGUUAUUAUUAUAUUAUUUGAAAGUGUAUUAACUAAGUCCAUCGACUAUUAAAUUUUCUAACUACAUAUAAAAAUUGCAAUGUUACUAGGUUAGAAAUUGCUCUAUUGGAUGUAGUCAAUAAUGUUCAAAAGAAGAUGUAAAUAUUGAAGGUCAUAAAUUUUUGAUUUUUUUUUUUUCAGUGAAAGGUAGGAUGCUAUCCGCUUCAUUUAUUUCGUCUAGAAAUAAACUUACCUGGAAAUGUGAAUAAACUAGAAUUCGAAUUUGGAUCUCGGAUAUCAACCAUCAAAUUUUUUUGCCACUUGCCCUAGGAAUGGUCGGUAAUUUUUGAUAAUUUUUAGUAAUGGCUAACUGAUAGAUUAAUUCUAAAAUUUUUAACUCCUACUUUAUAAAUUUAUGAAUUAUUUGGAUCAUAUCAUAACAAGAAUGCACUAUAUUUUAAUUGUAAAAAUUAUCAAUUAAGUAAAAAUUUGUUCAUAAAAUUGUUUCCUCUACUGUGAUGGGGAUGCGAACCAUAAGCAGCAGGCUCGGGUGGUCGCACAUGAGAUGCGUCCCCACCAAAUUUUGUUUUUGGGGAAACGACGCAACGGUAAACCGGGCGCAGGGAAAAUCCCCCCUCAACUCGAACGGUACGGACAAGUGAGUUUUGCGAGCCCAAGGCACUCAGUGCAACGGUUACACGCGCGAUCGCUUUCGCCGACACGCGGGCCCCACAUCUCUGCGCGUGUGGGGCCCGCGCGUCGGCGUAUAACGACCGCGGUAGGCAAGCGUUACACCGGAGCGGGAGUGGCGCCUCGCAGUUAGCGACUUGGCCGGUGACGUGGCGGGGGAACGCGGGUGCGGGUGCGGGUGCGGGUGCGGGUGAACGUGCUACGGCGGCCCCUCUUCACGUGGACCGAUCCUACGUGGCCCUAUGAGGUGGCUCGGAUCGCAAAUUAUUUGUUGGAUACAUGUCCACGGGGUUCAGGUCCGUGUCACCGGACCCGAAUGCGACCCGGCGAUUUUGAUUUUUAGCCUCGGUUUCGAUUGAUUGGGCGAGGGAUCGGACGAUGUGGUUCCCUCCAUGUGCCACAACGUUAGAGGGCGCCUUUGACGGUCGCUAUCUUAAUUUUGUAGCCAUUUGUUGCACCUAGAAACUUCUGCAACCGGAUAGAAUAUGGUUUACUUUUUCACUACAAAAAAAUAAAUAAAUAAAUAAAAUUAACUCUCUUUCUCUCUAUAUAUAUUAUUUUAGUAUUAACAGCAUAAACUUUACGCGAAUUUACUGUACUGCGUCCACGUAAAAGGCUUGUUUACUUUAACAAAAUUAUUAUUAUUGUUUUUUUACCGACAAUAGUAUACUGCAGUUAAUUAAAGAGAUUUGAUGUUUAGUGGAUUCGGUUUUUUAACUGAGUUUAUUUCUACGUCAUCAUACCAAACUAUGUAAAAUAACUAAAAUUUUCAAAAACUUAAACUGCGAGUGAAUAAAUAAUUUUUUUUAAAAUUAAUUAAAAAGUAUGAUUUGAUUUUAUUUAAAAUAAAAGCUGUAUCUAUUUUCCUCUAUAUAUAUAUGAUGAUCCUACGUGUUUGAUCUCAUUGUGAAGCAUGGUCUCCCUUUCAUUAUUAGCCCUAGAGUGGGUGCUUGCGUGCUCAUAAUAUCCCGAGCCAUCCUGUCGCCCGAAUUUGUGCCAUGCAUGUUCCACCAAACUUGGCUCCGAAUUGAAUGCCACACAACGCUGUUGGGCUCCACGAACCCGACCUUACAAAACCACCCGAUAUUAAAACCCCGCCCUGCAUCAAAUCAAAUCAAAUCAACGGUCGUGAUGGCACCUAACUUAACUGUUCUUAUUCCGGAUCAAUAAUUAUCCAUUUAUUUAUCCCUCCUCCCGGGAAGGAAUAUAAUAAACACUAGACUAGAUAGAUAACACAAAAUCCUCGCAUCGCGACAAAAAAAAAAAGAAAAAGAAAAAGAAAAAGAAAAAGAAAAAAGCCCCAGCACGGACCCGAGUUAAACCCAAACCCUCGUUUAUUCCCCGCUUUAACCUUUUGCCUGAAGAAGAGAAUAAAUAAGACCCAGAAUAUUAUUAUUAUUAUAUAUGAUAAUAUAAUAUUAAGAACUAGACUGGAAUACUAUUAAUAACACUAAUGAUUUGAUGCUAUUAAAUUUUCUAUUUUUAAAUUAAAAGAUAUACGAUUAGAAUAAUAUGAGCUUUUUAAAGUUGAAUGAAUGAUUGAUUGAAUAGUAUAAUCGAAUGGAUAUAAAAAUGAUAAAAAAGUAAAUUUAAUUAUAAAAAAAUUUGAUAAUACUAAAUAAUUCGUACUAUCGAUAGUAUCCCAAUCAGACUCUAAUAUUAAAUAUAAUAAUACUAAGUUAAUGUUGUGUUAUGUUAUGUUACGUUAUAUUAUUUUAUUCAGCAAAAAAAAAACCCGAACCCUCCCCGCCAGUUUAUAUUUACCGCUCCCUCCCUAAACCAGGUGGCAUCUGAAAUACAGCGAGAAAGAAAGAGAUUGUUGAGAGAGAGAGAGAGUUUGUAGAGGAGAUUGUAGAGAGAGAGUGAGUGAGAGAGAGAGAGAGAGAAUGAUGAUGAUGGGAGAAGGGGGUCGUCACCUCCAUCGCGAUCCGACGGUGCACGCGCCGCCGUGGAGCCCGUUCGACGAUCCGACGGGGGGGUACGGGGGCGGGGAGUGCUCGCCGUACGUGAUGGGGGGUGGGGCGGCGGCGCUGGCGGCGGCGCUGCAGGGCUACGCGGCGGUGGCGGCGGCGGCGGCGGCGGCCGCUGGGGAGGAGGAGGAGGAGGAGGAGCUGCUGGACGAGGCGGAGCUGGCGGACGCGCCGGUGGACGCGUUCUCGUGCGACGAGUUCCGGAUGUACGAGUUCAAGGUGCGGCGGUGCGCACGGGGGCGGAGCCACGACUGGACGGAGUGCCCCUACGCCCACCCGGGCGAGAAGGCGCGCCGCCGCGACCCCAGGAAGUACCACUACUCCGGGACCGCCUGCCCGGACUUCCGCAAGGGCAACUGCAAGCGCGGGGACGCCUGCGAGUUCGCGCACGGCGUCUUCGAGUGCUGGCUGCACCCGGCGCGCUACCGCACCCAGCCCUGCAAGGACGGCACCGCCUGCCGCCGCCGCGUCUGCUUCUUCGCCCACACGCCGGAGCAGCUCCGCCUCCUACCCCAGCAGCAGCAGCAACAGCAGCAGCAUCAGCAGCAUCAGCAGCAGCUUCUCCUUGCGAGCCCUCGGGGAUCCUGCUCCGCGUCGUCGGCGCCGCCUCCCGAGUCCUACGACGGGUCCCCGCUGCGGCGACGCGCGCUGGAGUCGUCGCUGUCGAAGGGCCUCGCCUCGAGCUCGCCCACCUCCACGCUGCUCUCCCCGCCGCUCUCGCCGCCGUCCGAGUCCCCGCCCAUCUCCCCCAGCGGCAGCGCCGCCGCCGCCGCCGCGCUGCGGCGCGCGUCGUGGCCCGUGGCGGGCGCGUCCAUGAACGAGCUCGCCGCCUCCUUCCGGACCAUGCAGCUGAGCAAGGUGAAGUCGGCGCCGAGCUCCUGCGGGUUCCAGCUGGGCGGCGCGUUCGGCUCGCCGCGGGGGAGCGCCGGGGGUUUCGGCGGCGGGUUCUGGAGCCUCCCUUCGACUCCCACCAAGGAGUCGGCGGUGGGUGGGGGUCUCAUCGCCGGGUUCGGCGACGGCGCCGAGUUGGGCCUGGUGGGAGAGGAGCCGCCCGUUCAGAGGGUGGAGUCCGGGAGGGCGCUGAGGGCGAAGAUGUUCGAGAGGCUGAGCAAGGACUGCGCCGUGGCCAAGUCCGAUACCCCGACUCCUACCCCGGACGUCGCCUGGAUUUCAGAGCUCGUCAAGUGAUUUGCUGGGAACUACCCAAAGAAUAUUAUAACAAGUGUUAUGAAAAAAAAAAAAUAAGAAGAAGAAGAAAAGAGAGACGGGGAAAAAGUAAAGAAGAAAAAAAAAAAAGAAACGAAGGAAAGAUGAUGGAUUUUGGUAAGGGGUCUAAGCGCCCUAAUUUUUUGCAUGAAUAUUGUGAAUAUUGUUGUUGUCCAAAAAAAAAAAAAAAAAAGGGAGAAAAAGAGAGAAUGUUAAUUCUGUAUAUAGGUGUGAAGGGUGCAUGGAGGAGAGGGAUUACGAUGCUAGUGGGUGGAUCUGUUUUGGGGCUUCUUGCUGUAGUGGCAGUAAAUAUUAUUUAGCACUCUCCUGUGUAUAGAGACCAAUCAAAUUUGAAGCGACCAACGGAGAAGAUGAUGAAGGAACUAAAGAAGGGUGGCAUCAACUGCUGUGGGAAAAAUUACUUUACUAAUUUCGAUUUUUUUUUUAAGCAUAUGUUAUGUUGCUGCUUAGCUUUUGUUCAUCUUGGAAAUUUGCUUAAAAUUGUCGCACUCCUUUAAUCUCACCGUUUUGGUUCUAUUUUUGUGCAUGCUUGUAGUUUUCUGAUAUCCUGAUCUUUUAUAUAAAAUAUAUGUAACUGUAUCUCUCAUUGUCAUCUUCGCGUUAUUAUAAAAAUGUAAGAUAUUGCUCUUAUCCAAGUUUGAAUCUCUCCUUGUUUGAACAUUUCCUGCUGUGUGAUGAGGGUUCGCACUUCUUUUUCUCAAGUGGCUGUGCAUGUGAUCUCAUGACCAUGACACGAAAAAAAAUUUGUGGCAGUUAAUUUUGCGUCGGAUGGCCCCGUUGAACAAGAUGAGCAGGGAUUAAUUUAACACAGUUUAUAGUUGUAAUUUUUGGUUCUCUCUCGCUUUGUUGGAAUUAUUAUCCUCGGAGAGCAACCUGUGGCUUUUCUAUUUUCUGGAGAGAAGCGUGCGAAGCUAAAGAGAAAUGGACCAAAAAAUUAUUCUUGUUUUCUCUGUCGAGUCCAAAUUAAAUUCUGUGAAAAAUAAGAACUCGAUAUCAAUGAGAUUAUCUUUUAAAAAAUUAUUUUGUUAUUUUAAUAUGAUGACAACAUUAGAGGGGUAUAUUGCAAUGAGCCCAAGAUAUUUUUCAAAACUUUAAUAAAAGAGGGACAGGGAGUCAGGGACUUAAUAGGAGUAAAAAAAAACCUUGGUAAAUAAAAGAAAUAAAUAUAUAUAUGUAGUGUAAAGAUGUUUGGUUUAAUAGAGACAGGACACACUUUACUGCAGUUGUGCUGUUUCCAUCCCUUUACUUGCCCCGCUGGGGUCCUCGUUGAGAAAUAAAGGAGAAAGAUCAUGAGAAAUCCGGAAGCGGCCGUACCCAUUGAACUAAGAGAAAGAAGGAAAAACUUAAAAAAAAAAGUAAAUAAAUGCAUGGAGAACCCCCCCUCAAUUAUAGCCUAUUUUGAAGUACACCCCUCGACUAUUAACUUUUAAAUUUGUAUCUUUCUAUUUAAGUUCCUCUCGUUAAUUCAAAGUUCCUGCGCCUACCUGUUUUAUUUAUUUUUUAAAAAAUUAAAUUUAAUAAUAUAAAAUAAUUAGGUUUCAAAGUUGAGACCUAAAAUGCCAGCUAAUCAUUUUUUUUUUACCACUUAGUCUAAAAAUAAUCCAUAUUUUAAUUUUAUUGGUCUAGAAAUUAUCGUACUAGUCUCGGCAUACAUCUCUGUAAUAAUACUUAUGAUGAUAUUAAAAAGGUUGUAAAGAGGAUGGAAUCUUUAACUGAUGGUAUAAAGAAUAAAUCUAUGCCUAAUUUUUAAAAUUUACAUAUAGUUAUAUAAGCUUAUAAUCAAGAGGGCUAUUUUCAGAAUACACUAUAGUUGAAGGACCCUCCAUAUCAUUUUCACCUUGCUCGCCCUUUUUAUGUACAUCUUUUCUUCGCUACUGUCCCAAUAUAUUCCACCCUAUUCUCACGCAAACAAGCACUCUUCCUACUACAGGGGCUACAUCUCAUUUAUUACUACUUGUACUACAUUUGUGUUAUUAUUAUUAUUAUUAUUAUUUUCAGUACAUUAUAUAUAUAUAUAAUUAUAUAUAAAUAUAUAUAUUUAAUAGCUUUGGUUUCAUUUAUAGAGAUGGGUGGGUAGAGGGGGAGUAGUCCUUUAGUCGCGUCUUUUCACGUGGUUAAAGCGGAGGACCCGGCUCCUGCUGCUAUUGUUGUUCAUCGUCCUUUUUUUUUUCUUUUUUUUCUUUUUUCCUUUUCUUUUUUAUUCAUUUUUUUAAGUGCAUGAAGGCUCAGGCAAUUUUGAAAUCGCCCCUCAACGACCGAUUAGUUUUCAACGCAAGUGACAAAAAUAUUUAGUAAGAAAUAUUUAAUUAUUUUAUUUUUUAAUUUUAUAUUUAUUUUUUUAAAAAAAAAUAAAAUAAAAUAAAUAUUAUACUAUUUUCUUCUCCAAAAAAAGAAUCACCCCUCAGCUUCAAAUUUUGAAUAAUGUUUUUUUGGAAUGUUUGGUUUGCAUGCAGUUGAAAAUAUACGCAUUUAUUAAAUUUUUGUUUGAUUUAGUAUAGUCAGGCCCAAUUGCUAUAGUUGCAUCUUUACGUGAAUGCUCAACCGGAGCAGUAAAUACUGCAACCAAAUUAGCUGUAGUACCAUCUGCAGUAAUUGUACUGGAGUCGGCUCACCUAUUAAAAAAUAAAUAAAGUAUGGUUUUUUUUUCAUACGUUUUUAUUUUAAAAUUUUUUUUUCAAGAAUAUCUAUUCAUAAAAUCUAUUAGGAUUUAAUAAUGUCGGUUAGAAUUCAAUAAAUUUUUUUUACAUGCUUCUAUUUUUUUCUCCCAAUUUGCUAGUUCAGUAAUGUCUUAGUUUUUGUUUUGGUCAAAUCUAUAAUAUAUUUGCAUUUAAAAUUCAUUAAAUUUAUACAUAAUUUUAUAAUAUAUAAAUUAUAAAAUUGGGUUAGCAUCCCUGCAAAGUUCAACUUUAAUAAGUUAUUUCUACAAAAGUCCUAAUAUAUUCAGAUAUGUCCCUCUAGUUAACAUUCGUUAGAAAACUGUUUAAUUUUUAACAGUAGAUUCGUGAAAUGACAUUUUUGCCCUCAUAAAUAUGUCCCUUCAAAACUUCAACUGAUAUACAUUUGCAGAAAUGCCCUCACAAAUCUCCAUUUUUUUCUUUCUCUACCUUUUCGGGCUGCGGGGGGUAGAUGAUGGUGGCGACGGCGCAGAGUUUGUCAGAGUUGCAGUCGACGAGGACAAGACUAAGGCCCGUAGCGACAAGGCGGAGGGUGAAGUGCGACCGAUUCGAACAAAGAGGAGGAAAAGGAAAAGAAAAAAAAAAGAAGAAGGAAGGAAGAGGAGAAAGAAGAAGAAGAAUAGGAAGAGGAAGAGGAAGAAUAUGAAAGGUAAAAUUAUUAAUUUACCUUAUUAAUUAGUUAUGGUUAAAUAUUUUAACUGUGGUUAACUAAAUUUUUUUAACGGAUCCUAACGGUAGGGACAUAUCUGAAUAUAUUAAGAUUUUUGCUGGGAUAACUUAUGAAAGUUGAACUUUGCAGGAACAUAUCUGUAAUUCACCAAAUGUGCAAGAACCUAUAUGCAAUUAACCUUAAAUUAUAUAUAAAUAUAAAAGUGUUAAUUAAUAAUUAAAAAAAUUCAUAAUUAUGUUAUAUUCAGAAGAAGUAAUCUCAAAUUUCUAUCUAAAAAUUGACAAAAUUUACAAACACAAAUCUCUACUGCAACCUACCAAACAAAAAAAAUAUAACUGUAGCAGUUGCAAUUGUAUAAAACCAAAUAGACUAGACAUAAUUAUAACUAUAACAUUUGCAACGGUAUAUAUUUCCAACUAUACUGUUUUUAAAACUACAUCCAACUAAAUAGCCCCUUAGUAAAGUUCAUUUUACAAAAAAAAAAGUUAAUAUAAAAAAAAGCUAGACUCGUACACUUUUGAAAGCACGUAAAUUUUCGUACUUAUAAAUUAUUUUUGAUGAUAAAACAUUCCAUUCAACGAUCGACUCUGUUAUAUAGGAUCGUCACCAUUAACCUUAAAAUGAAUGACUAAAAAUAAAACUUUUAUAAAAAAUAAUGAUAAAAGACUCCAAUUUCAAAUCAAAAAUAUUGUUCUUACUCCUAAUGUUAAGUAAAAUUUUUUAUUAAAAUUUUAUAUAAUUUAAAUUUUUUUACACGGUAAAACUUACAAACAUACAACAUCAAGUACAAAAUCCUCCGUGUUUUUUAAAGUGUAGAAGACGUAUUCCAUAAAAAAUUCACCACGCGUUAGUUUUUAUUUGGGCUGAGAAGUCGUCAUUUUUUUUUUUUAUUGAUUUAAACUUAAUUAAGUUUAGUUUUGUUAAAUAAAAUGUAACAUUAAAAAAAAUAAUUAUUAAUUUAAUAUAAAUAAAUAGUUUGUCUUUAAAAAUUUUAAGCUAUUAAAAUAUGUGGUUAAUAUUUAUAUUCAUAUUCAUCACUUCUUAUAUUUUGAUAUCAAAUUUUUUGACAAUUCAAAGACAAAAAUUUUAAUCAGACCGAAGAAAAUAAAAUAAUACUUGGAACUCAAAACAUCUUAUCAUGACACUAUAUGAAAUAUUAUCGAUUGAUUUUUAAAUACUCUCUAGCUAGCUAAUUUUUUUUAAAAUAUAUGGGACAAAAAUUGCCUAAAUUUUCAUUAUAUUUUUUUUCUAAAAAAGAUAAUGGCCAUGUGCGGAUUUUCUGAAGAAAAAAAAAAAAGUCUACAUUAUAAUAUUUAUACCAUAUCAUAUCUUUUUAUUUGAGUAAAAAACAUAAUGAAUAAGACGGAUAAAUCUAAAGAGAUAAAGUGAUUGAUUAAAAAUACCACAUCACCCAGCAAUAUAACUAAUAUAUUCUUUUUUUCUUUUUUUUUUUCUUUUUUUUUUUUGAAGAAGAGAGAAAUAUUAAUAGCAUUUUUUUUUGUCCCUUUUUAUUUUUCAUAUACUAAUUUUUAAUAAACGAAUUUUAUUUUUAUCCGUUUAAAAUAUGUGUGAUGAUACGAUAUGAUGGUAUGGGUAUGCCCAUCGCUGUCUGUCGUGUUGGUGUUAUCCACUCCCUCAGUCGGGCGUCGCUGUCAGGGGUGAAGAAGAUCUACAAACCCCAGCGGCGUUCCUGGGUCCCACCCUUUUGCAGUGGAGUAAUAAUUCAAUUAUUUUCCGCGCCUGGUGCAUCCUUAUUACCCUGCGCACCGCAUUCAUCCACUGACCAAAUAGUUAUUAAAUGAUUUACUUACUAUUAUAAUAAGUAUCGAUUAAUUAUCAAACAACUAUUUUAUAUUAUUAUAAUAAUAUAAUAUUAGAAUAGAAGAUUUUUAAGUUCAAAUAGUAAGCUUUUUUUUUUUUUUUUUUUUUUUACCUAACAUCAUUUUUUUUGGCGUGGUUAUAAAUUGUAUAUACCUGUUGAUACAACUUUUUUUUAGAAAUAAAUAGCACGCUACCUAUUUUGUUUAUUUCAUAUAGAAAUAAACUUAGCUGGAAAUGUGAAUUAACUAGAAUUCGAACUUGAAAUCUCGGAUACCAACCACUAAGUCUUUUGCCAUUUACUUUAGGGAUGGUCAGUUUAAAUAGUAAGUUUUGAACUUAUAAAAUGUUCAAAACUCAGACGUAGUAGUACGCCGUUAAAAAUAUAUUAUCUUAGAAACCGAUCAGCUUACAAAAUAAGACUUUUACUUGACUCUACAAGAAAUUGAUAAUCGCACAGCAUGAAAAAAGUAUUUUUAACCACAACGAUCUCAAACUAGGCCUAAAUUGGUUUUUUUUUUCUUUUUUUUUUUUGAGAAAAUCUUUGAUGAGAUUUUAGCAUGUGUUUUACGUGAUAUAGUCAUACACUGGGUGUAGGUAAUGAUUUCCGAUGGGAUGAGAUACAUAGCUGUGCACGCAACAGGGAGCAUCCCAAGCCCGAGGUGUUAAUAAAGGAAAAUUGGGUGCACAGAUGGCCAUGAAAGUGGGAAGGAGCAUGUCCAUAAACAGGAUCCGAAGAUAUUUCGUAGUAAUUGUGGGCUCCAUUUCGCUAUCCAUUACUGGAUAAAACAGAAUAAAAUGAGAACAAAGUCACUUACAAACUGGUGGUAACCGAAGAUAUUUAGCACAGAUGGCCAAGAACUUAUUCGACGGUAGAUAUCUGAUAUCUUAAAUUCAAAAUCUAAUUAUUUUAUAAUUUAAAUUGUAUUUUAAUUUUGAAAAAAAAAAAUUAAAUGAAACAGAGAAUUUAAAUUUAGGACUCAGUGUGUCCCUCGACUUAGGUGUAAGAAUAGAAAUAUUUCUAAAUACUUUGAAGUACUUACGUUUAUCAAAUUGGAUAAGAGGGGUGAAAUUAUCGAAUCCCUUCUCAAAUGUUUAUCCCAGAGUUUUAGUUCCCUAGAGCAAGUGGCAAAGGACCCGAGGUCCCAAGUUCGAAUUCUAGUUGAUUCAUAUUUACAGAAAAGUUUAUUUCUAAAUGAAAUAAACGAAGCGAAUAGCGUGUUACCUAUCUCUAAAAAAAAAAGAAAAAAAAAGAAGGAUUUGGAAGAUCCUCAAACCUAAAGAAGCACUAGCAACAAUUGCUUUUCGAACAUCAAAGUCCCAAUAGUUUCCAGUAACUUCUAUUCGGAAUUUCUUUCUCUUGAUCUUGUGAUAUUUCUUUCUAUUCGUCAUACGAUAGCAACUAAUAAGAAAUUGAGCACCCAGUGCAGCUUUCAAAGAGUCUAUUCAAUUUUCCCAUAUAUUCAAUGACUUGGACACACGGAUAACAUGGUAUUUAGUCAAGGAUUGUGCAAAUAUCCUCUAAGGUAUCGUUUGAUUUGGGAAUAAAUAAAAAGUGUCUAUUUCGGGGAUAGAUAUAAAUUGAGGUAUAAGCGGGGAUUAAAUUAAUUUUGCGUUUGGAUGAAAAUUAGGUUAUUCUUGGGAAUAAAAAAAAAAGCUUUUGUAUAGGUAAGAUAGAAUAAGAAGAAUAGUGAGUUUUAUAAAAAAAAAAAUAAUGUAUUAUCCUCUUAUUAUAUUUAAAUUUAAAUUUUUAAAUUUUUAAAUUAUAUUUUUAAAUUUAAAAUUUCAACUUUGAAAUUUCAAAAGUUGAAAUUAAAAUUUUAAAUUUUAAAUCUCAAAAUUUCAAUUCAAAAUUUUAAAUUUUAAAUCUCAAACUUUAAAUUUAAGAUCAAAUUUAAAUUUGAAAAAUAUAAAAUAUUAAAUUUCAAAAUAUCAAAAUUUGAAUUUUAAAUUUUAAAUUUUAAAUUUUAAUUUUGAGAUUACAAAUUAAAAAUUUUUAAAUUUAAAUUUNAUGUAUUAAUAUAAUAUAAUUAAUAAUUUUAUAAUAAAAAUAAUGUAUUAUAAUAUACAAUAUAUUAUAUUUAUAUAAUUUAGUUUUAAUUCAACUUAUAAUUUUAAUUUUGUAAUUAAACAUUGUAAUAGUACUAUUCCAUCAAAAUGGUGAAAAUUCCCGCUUAUCCCCUUACCAAACAGAUCCUAGAAGUUUUCAAAACAUUAAAAAACAAUCGCCUUACAUAAUUUAAUAUGAAAACAAAACAUGUGAGUCUGAGUUCGAAUCACACCAAAUUCCUAGUUUAGAUUAAUUUUCUUCAUUUAGUUCAAGUGUGUAUUUUAUAGACUUUGCUCACAAAUAUGGGGACAUGGAAAAAAUGUAUUUAGUUUAAGACAUUAGAUCUUUAUAUAUACCGGUUCUACCAAGGCUAGAAUGAAUAUAUGAUGUUGAAGUUCCGAGGGUCCACUAAAAAGCAUAGAAGAAGAUAAGAUUUACAUGAUAUAGAUCUCAACUCUAGUAGGGGUUCAAUAUUAAGCUAUACUUAGAUACUUCAAUACCCCACCUUGAGUCUAUAUAUAGAACCCUUCAACCACUUUUUUAAAGAUGAUAAUAAAGCACUCCAUCUCUUAUAAAAAAAGGGCAAGAAAAAAAUCUAGAUGUAGGUCCUCUAAUAGUCUAUUGGUAAUGGAUUAGGUUUGUACUGGUUUUGUGAAAAUUGAGAUACAAAGAUGCUACAAAUAUAUAAAAUAAAUAAUUGAGCAUCUAUUUAUGACGGCCAACCUAUUUUUGU
RNAcentral lists this long non-coding RNA (13980 nucleotides) under Ananas comosus (pineapple). RNAcentral describes it as "long non-coding RNA (ACOM_LNC015927)". Lineage: Eukaryota; Viridiplantae; Streptophyta; Magnoliopsida; Poales; Bromeliaceae. The record is from RNAcentral.